RNAcentral lists this ribosomal RNA (467 nucleotides) under uncultured bacterium. Its description in RNAcentral is "partial 16S ribosomal RNA". It matches the Rfam family "Bacterial small subunit ribosomal RNA", at positions 29 to 507 of the family's 1533-position model. The record is from RNAcentral.
ACGAACGCUGGCGGCGUGCUUAACACAUGCAAGUCGAACGGACAGGCCCUGCUUUUGUGGGGUGCUCGAGUGGCGAACGGGUGAGUAACACGUGAGUAACCUGCCCUUGACUUUGGGAUAACUUCAGGAAACUGGGGCUAAUACCGGAUAGGAGCUCCUGCUGCAUGGUGGGGGUUGGAAAGUUUCGGCGGUUGGGGAUGGACUCGCGGCUUAUCAGCUUGUUGGUGGGGUAGUGGCUUACCAAGGCUUUGACGGGUAGCCGGCCUGAGAGGGUGACCGGCCACAUUGGGACUGAGAUACGGCCCAGACUCCUACGGGAGGCAGCAGUGGGGAAUAUUGCACAAUGGGCGGAAGCCUGAUGCAGCAACGCCGCGUGCGGGAUGACGGCCUUCGGGUUGUAAACCGCUUUCGCCUGUGACGAAGCGUGAGUGACGGUAAUGGGUAAAGAAGCACCGGCUAACUACGUG